This is a long non-coding RNA of Eublepharis macularius, 412 nucleotides long. RefSeq lists it as uncharacterized. The transcript is spliced from 3 exons. Lineage: Eukaryota; Metazoa; Chordata; Lepidosauria; Squamata; Eublepharidae. The record is from RefSeq and is a predicted model, not a curated record.
AGCGCGGCGCUGGAGCUCUGUGUCUUGACUGUUUGCUCUUCUGCAGGGGAGGAGCACGGGGCAGAGAUCAUAUCCGUGACCAGUGGAGAGGAGGCGGAGGAGGUGCCGGGCGCGGUUGUCCUCCGUGCGCCGCCAUCAUCGCCCACCGGAGUGGUGGCGGAUAGCCCGAUCCGCCCUGAGUCCGCCACAACCAUGGAGCAAGACUCAUCCGGUUCCAGCGCGGGGACUUCGCGGGAGGAGGGGCGCAGGGCAGAGCUGGAGCGGGAGGCUGUGCCCAUAGCAGUGCGUGGGCAGGUCGCGGUGGAGGCCUGCCUCAGAGUGUUGAACCGAACCGAGGCGGCGGUGACCAGGAUGGCGGAGGAGAUCACGGCUAUUGGUCAAGCGGUCCAGGACAUGCGCCGGGACAUGGCCA